ACCGAAGUGGUGGAAAUUGGUAGACACACUACCUUGAGGUGGUAGCAUCCCAUAUUAUUUGGAUAUACGGGUUCAAAUCCCGUCUUCGGUA
RNAcentral lists this transfer RNA (91 nucleotides) under Enterobacteriaceae endosymbiont of Macroplea mutica. Its description in RNAcentral is "tRNA-Leu". It matches the Rfam family "tRNA". From Rfam's summary of the family: Transfer RNA (tRNA) molecules are approximately 80 nucleotides in length. Their secondary structure includes four short double-helical elements and three loops (D, anti-codon, and T loops). Further hydrogen bonds mediate the characteristic L-shaped molecular structure. tRNAs have two regions of fundamental functional importance: the anti-codon, which is responsible for specific mRNA codon recognition, and the 3' end, to which the tRNAs corresponding amino acid is attached (by aminoacyl-tRNA synthetases). tRNAs cope with the degeneracy of the genetic code in two manners: having more than one tRNA (with a specific anti-codon) for a particular amino acid; and 'wobble' base-pairing, i.e. permitting non-standard base-pairing at the 3rd anti-codon position. The record is from RNAcentral. Lineage: Bacteria; Pseudomonadati; Pseudomonadota; Gammaproteobacteria; Enterobacterales; Enterobacteriaceae.